RNAcentral lists this ribosomal RNA (301 nucleotides) under uncultured bacterium. RNAcentral's name for it is "partial 16S ribosomal RNA". It matches the Rfam family "Bacterial small subunit ribosomal RNA", at positions 509 to 807 of the family's 1533-position model. The record is from RNAcentral.
CAGUCGCCACGGUAAUACAGAGGGUGCGAGCGUUAAUCGGAUUUACUGGGCGUAAAGUGUGCGUAGGCGGCUUUUUAAGUCGGAUGUGAAAUCCCUGAGCUUAACUUAGGAAUUGCAUUCGAUACUGGGAAGCUAGAGUAUGGGAGAGGAUGGUAGAAUUCCAGGUGUAGCGGUGAAAUGCGUAGAGAUCUGGAGGAAUACCGAUGGCGAAGGCAGCCAUCUGGCCUAAUACUGACGCUGAGGUACGAAAGCAUGGGGAGCAAACAGGAUUAGAUACCCCAGUAGUCCCUGUCUCUUAUAC